AGCUGGAUGGUAAGGUAACGGCUUACCAUGGCUAUGAUGUCUAGGGGUUCUGAGAGGAAGGUCCCCCACACUGGAACUGAGACACGGUCCAGACUCCUACGGGAGGCAGCAGUGAGGAAUAUUGGACAAUGGAUGGAAAUCUGAUCCAGCCAUGCCGCGUGAAGGAAGAAGGUCCUAUGGAUUGUAAACUUCUUUUGUAUGGGAGCAAUAAGGCCUACGAGUAGGUUGAUGAGAGUACCAUACGAAUAAGCACCGGCUAACUCCGUGCCAGCAGCCGCGGUAAUACGGAGGGUGCAAGCGUUAUCCGGAUUUAUUGGGUUUAAAGGGUGCGUAGGCGGUUAUUUAAGUCAGUGGUGAAAGUUUUCGGCUCAACCGGAAAAUUGCCAUUGAUACUGGGUAGCUAGAAUAUGGUUGCUGUGAGUAGAAUGUGUGGUGUAGCGGUGAAAUGCAUAGAUAUCACACAGAAUACCGAUUGCGAAGGCAUCUCACAAAGCCAUCAUUGACGCUGAGGCACGAAAGUGUGGGGAUCAAACAGGAUUAGAUACCCUGGUAGUCCACACUGUAAACGAUGAUAACUAGCUGUUGGCGAUACACAGUCAGUGGCCAA
This 607-nucleotide ribosomal RNA is filed under the name uncultured bacterium. RNAcentral's name for it is "bacterial SSU rRNA". It matches the Rfam family "Bacterial small subunit ribosomal RNA", at positions 243 to 850 of the family's 1533-position model. The record is from RNAcentral.